GUUCUUCAUGUGCAAGUUGGUGGAGCAAAAUCCAUUAUGGAAGGAAUGGAAGCAAAGUCUUUGUAAAUAGCAAGUGGAGGAGAGGUAGAUGGAGGGCAGAAGAACGUGGAAAAAAAAUAAGAACCAAGAUACAUCAGGUAAAGGUACAAAUUCCCAAUGAUGAAUGUCAUCAUAUUGUAUACUUAAAAUGUACCAAUAAAUUUAACG
This 207-nucleotide long non-coding RNA is filed under the name Fukomys damarensis (Damara mole-rat). RNAcentral describes it as "lncRNA (ENSFDAG00000032268.1)". Lineage: Eukaryota; Metazoa; Chordata; Mammalia; Rodentia; Bathyergidae. The record is from RNAcentral.